AGCGAACGCUGGCGGCAGGCUUAACACAUGCAAGUCGAACGGGCUUCUUCGGAAGUCAGUGGCAGACGGGUGAGUAACCCGUGGGAACGCGCCCUUCUGUUCGGAAUAACUCAGGGAAACUUGAGCUAAUACCGGAUACGCCCUUAUGGGGGAAGGUUUACUGCCGAAGGAUCGGCCCGCGUCUGAUUAGCUUGUUGGUUGGGUAACGGCCUUCCAAGGCGACGAUCAGUAGCUGGUCUGAGAGGCUGAUCAGCCACGAUGGGGCUGAGACACGGCCCAGACUCGUAGGGGAGGGAGCAGUGGGGAAUAUUAGACAAGGGGCGCAAGCGUGAUCCAGCCGUGCCGCGUGAGUGAGGAAGGCCGUAGGGUUGUAAAGCUCUUUUGGCCGGGACGAUAGUGACGGUACCGGAAGAAUAAGCACCGGCUAACUUCGUG
Molecule: ribosomal RNA, 435 nt
Filed under: uncultured bacterium
Lineage: Bacteria
Description: partial 16S ribosomal RNA
Rfam family: Bacterial small subunit ribosomal RNA
Source: RNAcentral